UAGGAGAUGUGAAGCGAACCGAGCGAACUGAAACAUCUAAGUAGCUCGAGGAAAAGAAAUCAACCGAGAUUCCGGAAGUAGUGGCGAGCGAAACCGGAACAGCCUGUUAUUUUUAGCUUGCGCGUUAGUAGAAUGGAAUGGAAAGUCCAGCCGUAGAGGGUGAUAGCCCCGUAUACGAAAGCCCGCAAGUGGAACUAGGAUAACGACAAGUAGGGCGGGACACGAGAAAUCCUGUCUGAACAUGGGGGGACCAUCCUCCAAGGCUAAAUACUCGUAAUCGACCGAUAGUGAACUAGUACCGUGAGGGAAAGGUGAAAAGAACCCUGGGAGGGGAGUGAAAUAGAUUCUGAAAUCAUAUGCAUACAAACAGUAGGAGCCCUUCGGGGUGACUGCGUACCUUUUGUAUAAUGGGUCAGCGACUUACAUUCAGUAGCAAGCUUAACCGAUAGGGGAGGCGUAGCGAAAGCGAGUCCUAAUAGGGCGAUUUAGUUACUGGGUGUAGACCCGAAACCAAGUGAUCUAUCCAUGGCCAGGAUGAAGGUGCGGUAACACGUACUGGAGGUCCGAACCCACAAAUGUUGAAAAAUUUGGGGAUGAGCUGUGGAUAGGGGUGAAAGGCUAAACAAACUUGGAGAUAGCUGGUUCUCUCCGAAAACUAUUUAGGUAGUGCCUCGUGUAUAACUGCUGGGGGUAGAGCACUGUUAUGGCUAGGGGGCUCAUAA
RNAcentral lists this ribosomal RNA (722 nucleotides) under uncultured bacterium. RNAcentral describes it as "bacterial LSU rRNA". It matches the Rfam family "Bacterial large subunit ribosomal RNA", at positions 166 to 933 of the family's 2925-position model. The record is from RNAcentral.